AACAUGGGCCAGAAUUUUCCUAAUUCUGUCGGUUCUGCUGUUUCUCUCUAUUGAAGUGGGCCUUUUGAUUCAUUUUCAACAACAGUUUAUAUCAAAUCCACCAAGACGUCCGGAGGCUGUACAGUUUAAUGUGGGGCCAGAAGAAGCUGGAGUUCUGAUGUAGACCCAAAGAGACGGGAAACGGUACCAUGCUGUCGACUGUGGAGGUAAACGUAUCACCUUCACUGUUCAUGAAGCUGCAUGUCGACUCUAAAAUUUAACUGGGAGGAAAAACUGUGGAAAGAAACUUCAAACAGUUCCUGAGAGAAAUCUUCUGUGAUGGUGUCUGGGAUGAAUAUGAGGAAAGCUUCCCAAUGAGGUUCAGAAGAUGAUGUUUGAUUUCAUACAUCUGAAAUAUUUGAAUAAAGAUGUUCAGAUCAGUUGCCCGAGUAACCUGGUCAUGUUGGCUGAGAAACAGAAAAAGAAAGAGAUUGAAACGAGGAAGGAGCUUCCUGGGAUGAUGGAUUCAUCAGAAUCUCUAUCACUUUCUAUUCUCUGUGUUCACUUCCUGUUCUUCAUUUAAUUUGAUUUCAUUAUAUUACUGGAUCACAGCUGAACUCCAGCCCUUAAGACAAUGUUGCAAUUGUUUUUGUUCUGAUUAAUUCAGAGAAUAUGUACACUUGUUUUAUUGUUAAUUUGUUUUUGUUCUUUUUUUGUAUUAAUUAAAGCAAUUGUCCUAUUUCUCAGAAACCAAGAAAUCAAUCAUUUGGAUUCAAAUUUACAGACUGAAUUAACACUAAAAGUAAAUUUUGUUCUAAGUUGGGUUUUCCUGCCGCCUUUCUGUUUUGUGGUUUUGAAUCUGACGUGAAAAUAGAUCUGAAAAAACAAAACGGAUCCUCGCUUUUUUCACUUUUUUCUUUUGAUGCUUAUGUUUAUGCUUCCUUCCAUUUCCUUGUAAAUUUGCUGCUGAA
Molecule: long non-coding RNA, 950 nt
Organism: Poeciliopsis prolifica (blackstripe livebearer)
Lineage: Eukaryota; Metazoa; Chordata; Actinopteri; Cyprinodontiformes; Poeciliidae
Exons: 3
Source: RefSeq, a predicted model, not a curated record